Molecule: ribosomal RNA, 253 nt
Filed under: uncultured bacterium
Lineage: Bacteria
Description: partial 16S ribosomal RNA
Rfam family: Bacterial small subunit ribosomal RNA
Source: RNAcentral
UACGUAGGGUCCGAGCGUUGUCCGGAAUUAUUGGGCGUAAAGGGCUCGUAGGCGGUUUGUCGCGUCGGGAGUGAAAUCACCGGGCUUAACUCGGUGCUUGCUUUCGAUACGGGCAGACUAGAGGUAUGCAGGGGAGAAUGGAAUUCCUGGUGUAGCGGUGAAAUGCGCAGAUAUCAGGAGGAACACCGGUGGCGAAGGCGGUUCUCUGGGCAUUACCUGACGCUGAGGAGCGAAAGUGUGGGGAGCGAACAGG